UAGUUCGUGGAGUGAUCUGUCUGCUUAAUUGCGUUUCAAAAUUUAACUUGAGGACCGGGUUUUGGUUUGGCUAGUGGUUCUACGAUGACUGUGAACUGUCAUGUCUUCGGAUGUGCGACUAUUGGUCUAGGAUCACAUGACUUGCCCCUGGGACUCUUUUGAACGCAACGGACGUGAUUGCAACCCCUUGUUGAGAUUAGAGAUAGUCUCGAUAUUCACUGGACAAACUGGCUGCUUUAUGCAGUCUUGUUGAAUGGUGGAUAAACUCGGGGGACUGCUGACUAUAACCAUUUCUCAAAACAGAGGAAGGUUGCGGCAAUAACAGGUCUGUGAUGCCCUCAGAUGUCCCGGGCUGCACACGUGCUACAAUGAGUGGCGCAAUGUGCUAAUGUUUAAGGGAUAAGAGUGUGGUCAGUAGAACGUCGGGAUUUCCCCUGACGUCUCCCCCGCACGAUUAUCAGCCUUCCCUUAACAGGGCGGGCAACCUUUUCAAAAUACUGGUUUGAUGUUAAAGUAUUGAGUCGUUUUUUUUGGAUGGUGGUUUGUUAACCAAUACCAUCCGGCAACUGCUCGCGAGUUUGUGGUUCUGGCGACUCAUGGUGG
RNAcentral lists this ribosomal RNA (603 nucleotides) under Globigerinoides ruber albus. RNAcentral describes it as "partial small subunit ribosomal RNA". The stretch from base 1 to 537 matches the Rfam family "Eukaryotic small subunit ribosomal RNA", at positions 1295 to 1605 of the family's 1831-position model. Lineage: Eukaryota; Foraminifera; Rotaliida; Globigerinidae. The record is from RNAcentral.